CUGGCUCAGGACGAACGCUGGCGGCGUGCCUAAUACAUGCAAGUCGAGCGGACCGACGGGAGCUUGCUCCCUUAGGUCAGCGGCGGACGGGUGAGUAACACGUGGGUAACCUGCCUGUAAGACUGGGAUAACUCCGGGAAACCGGGGCUAAUACCGGAUGCUUGAUUGAACCGCAUGGUUCAAUCAUAAAAGGUGGCUUUUAGCUACCACUUACAGAUGGACCCGCGGCGCAUUAGCUAGUUGGUGAGGUAACGGCUCACCAAGGCGACGAUGCGUAGCCGACCUGAGAGGGUGAUCGGCCACACUGGGACUGAGACACGGCCCAGACUCCUACGGGAGGCAGCAGUAGGGAAUCUUCCGCAAUGGACGAAAGUCUGACGGAGCAACGCCGCGUGAGUGAUGAAGGUUUUCGGAUCGUAAAACUCUGUUGUUAGGGAAGAACAAGUACCGUUCGAAUAGGGCGGUACCUUGACGGUACCUAACCAGAAAGCCACGGCUAACUACGUGCCAGCAGCCGCGGUAAUACGUAGGUGGCAAGCGUUGUCCGGAAUUAUUGGGCGUAAAGCGCGCGCAGGCGGUUUCUUAAGUCUGAUGUGAAAGCCCCCGGCUCAACCGGGGAGGGUCAUUGGAAACUGGGGAACUUGAGUGCAGAAGAGGAGAGUGGAAUUCCACGUGUAGCGGUGAAAUGCGUAGAGAUGUGGAGGAACACCAGUGGCGAAGGCGACUCUCUGGUCUGUAACUGACGCUGAGGCGCGAAAGCGUGGGGAGCGAACAGGAUUAGAUACCCUGGUAGUCCACGCCGUAAACGAUGAGUGCUAAGUGUUAGAGGGUUUCCGCCCUUUAGUGCUGCAGCAAACGCAUUAAGCACUCCGCCUGGGGAGUACGGUCGCAAGACUGAAACUCAAAGGAAUUGACGGGGGCCCGCACAAGCGGUGGAGCAUGUGGUUUAAUUCGAAGCAACGCGAAGAACCUUACCAGGUCUUGACAUCCUCUGACAACCCUAGAGAUAGGGCUUCCCCUUCGGGGGCAGAGUGACAGGUGGUGCAUGGUGUCGU
This 1055-nucleotide ribosomal RNA is filed under the name Bacillus sp. 3LF 16T. RNAcentral's name for it is "bacterial SSU rRNA". It matches the Rfam family "Bacterial small subunit ribosomal RNA", at positions 19 to 1055 of the family's 1533-position model. The record is from RNAcentral. Lineage: Bacteria; Bacillati; Bacillota; Bacilli; Caryophanales; Bacillaceae.